CAGCCGCCGCGGUAAUACGAGGGGGGCAAGCGUUGUUCGGAAUUAUUGGGCGUAAAGGGUGCGUAGGCGGUUUGGCAAGUCUUAUGUGAAAUCUUCGGGCUCAACCCGAAGCCUGCACGAGAAACUGCCGGGCUUGAGUAUUGGAGAGGUGAGUGGAAUUUCCGGUGUAGUGGUGAAAUGCGUAGAUAUCGGAAGGAACACCUGUGGCGAAAGCGGCUCACUGGACAAUAACUGACGCUGAUGCACGAAAGCUAGGGGAGCAAACAGGAUUAGAUACCCGAGUAGUCCCUGUCUCUUAUAC
RNAcentral lists this ribosomal RNA (301 nucleotides) under uncultured bacterium. Its description in RNAcentral is "partial 16S ribosomal RNA". It matches the Rfam family "Bacterial small subunit ribosomal RNA", at positions 509 to 807 of the family's 1533-position model. The record is from RNAcentral.